GACGGAGGGCGCGAGCGUUAUUCGGAAUCAUUGGGCGUAAAGAGCGUGUAGGCGGCCGGUUAAGUCAGGUGUGAAAGCCCGGGGCUCAACCUCGGAAGUGCACUUGAAACUGGUCGGCUUGAGUUCGGGAGAGGGAAGCGGAAUUCCUGGUGUAGAGGUGAAAUUCGUAGAUAUCAGGAGGAACACCGGUGGCGAAGGCGGCUUCCUGGACCGAAACUGACGCUGAGACGAGAAAGCGUGGGGAGCAAACAGG
This 253-nucleotide ribosomal RNA is filed under the name uncultured bacterium. RNAcentral's name for it is "partial 16S ribosomal RNA". It matches the Rfam family "Bacterial small subunit ribosomal RNA", at positions 524 to 776 of the family's 1533-position model. The record is from RNAcentral.